AGUGAACGCUGGCGGUAGGCCUAACACAUGCAAGUCGAACGGCAGCACAGUAAGAGCUUGCUCUUACGGGUGGCGAGUGGCGGACGGGUGAGGAAUACAUCGGAAUCUACUUUUUCGUGGGGGAUAACGUAGGGAAACUUACGCUAAUACCGCAUACGACCUACGGGUGAAAGCAGGGGAUCUUCGGACCUUGCGCGAUUGAAUGAGCCGAUGUCGGAUUAGCUAGUUGGCGGGGUAAAGGCCCACCAAGGCGACGAUCCGUAGCUGGUCUGAGAGGAUGAGCAGCCACACUGGAACUGAGACACGGUACAGACUCCUACGGGAGGCAGCAGUGGGGAAUAUUGGACAAUGGGCGGAAGCCUGAUCCAGCCAUACCGCGUGGGGGAAGAAGGCCUUCGGGUUGGAAAGCCCUUUUGUUGGGAAAGAAAAGCAGCAGGUUAAUACCCCGCUGUUCUGACGGUACCCAAAGAAUAAGCACCGGCUAACUUCGUG
This 492-nucleotide ribosomal RNA is filed under the name uncultured bacterium. RNAcentral's name for it is "partial 16S ribosomal RNA". It matches the Rfam family "Bacterial small subunit ribosomal RNA", at positions 29 to 507 of the family's 1533-position model. The record is from RNAcentral.